UACGUAGGAGACGAGCGUUGUCCGGAGUUACUGGGCGUAAAGGGUGCGCAGGCGGCCUGGCGCGUCGCGAGUGAAAUCUCCCGGCUCAACUGGGAGGGCGGUCGCGAGACGGCGAGGCUUGAGGCGUGGAGAGGGGCGUGGAAUUCCGGGUGGAGCGGUGAAAUGCGUAGAGAUCAGGAGGAACACCGACGGCGUAGGCAGCGCCCUGGACACGACCUGACGCUCAGGCACGAAAGCGCGGGGAGCGAACAGG
This 253-nucleotide ribosomal RNA is filed under the name uncultured bacterium. RNAcentral describes it as "partial 16S ribosomal RNA". It matches the Rfam family "Bacterial small subunit ribosomal RNA", at positions 524 to 776 of the family's 1533-position model. The record is from RNAcentral.